This is a long non-coding RNA of Parus major (Great Tit), 1229 nucleotides long. RefSeq lists it as uncharacterized. The record is from RefSeq and is a predicted model, not a curated record. The transcript is spliced from 2 exons. NCBI's taxonomy places the organism in Eukaryota, Metazoa, Chordata, Aves, Passeriformes, Paridae.
UAUAAGGUUUUAUCUAUAUGUGACAGGUGGUUUGGGUUUUUUUGAGGGUGGCUGAAUCUUGUCGGUCUGGAGGUUUUUAUGGACACCAGACACCUGGUGACUUCCAGAGGUGGACUUGGGCAGGAGGAAAGUGCUCACACCUUGUUUUUCCCCCAAAACAGGAAUUCCAGUUCCCAAAGUUUAGCCAGAUGGAGGAGGAGGCUAUGAGGAAGAGGAAGAUGCCCAGGGCAGUGAGACAGACAAGGAGCUGAGGAUGGAGACCGGGGAGGACAAAUCCUUGCAGCAGAACCUCAUGGAAGAGGCCAUUUUGAGCAGCUCCACAGCUCAGGAAUCCAACGGGGAGGAAAAGCCCCAGAGAUCCUGCAUGAGGAGGGGCUGCACAUACAGGACUUGAAGGAACAGUAAGUAGAGUUUGCAGGCAACACUAAAUUGGAAGGAGGUGCUGACUCCCUCAAGGGCAGAGACCUUAACAAAUCCAAGAGAUGGGCAAUCAUCAACCACAGGAAGUUUAAGAAGGCUGAAGGAACUUGCAGGACACCUCAUAGCAGCCUUCAGCCUCCUCCUGAGGGGCAGUGGUAGGGCAGGCACCAAUCUCUGAGCUCUGCUGACCCAUGACAAGACCUGAGUGGAUGGCUUGAAGCUGUGCCAGGGCGGAGUCAGGCUGGAGAUCAGGAAGAUUCUUUGCCCAGAGGGUGAUUGGGCACUGAGUGGCUCCCAUGGGAACGGUCAUCGCACCAAGGCUGCCAGAGCUCCAGGAGCAUUUGGACAGUGCUUUCAGGAACAGACUGUUCCUGAAACAAACAAUCCUGGGAUUGUUGGGGUGUCCUGUGCAGAGCCAGCAGAUGGACUUCAUGAUCCUUGUGCAUCCUUCCAGUUCAGGAUAUUCCAUUAGUCACUGAAAACCACUGGAUGAAGUACCAUGUGCUAAACCACGAAGGGCAGUUCCUGGCUCCUGGGAGAGAAGCAGACACCAGCUGCCUGCUUUGCAGCUUGAGAUCCCCAUGAAAACAUUUUGGGUUUCUAUGUUCUGAAAGGUGGCACUGCCUGCAUAGCAGUGCCUUCAGUUUACCACUCUUUGUGUCUGGAGUUGACCCAGGAAUGUCCCAUGGUGGGGUGCUUCAUUCCUGCAGUCACUUCAAUACUGGGACCAGACCUGGAGUGUGAGGAGCAAGCUCCAGAUCCAAGCACCAUCUUCUCAGACCACAGCAUAUUAAAGCAUCUCCUUGGGA